GAUGAACGCUGGCGGCGUGCCUAAUACAUGCAAGUCGAGCGAACGGACGAGAAGCUUGCUUCUCUGAUGUUAGCGGCGGACGGGUGAGUAACACGUGGAUAACCUACCUAUAAGACUGGGAUAACUUCGGGAAACCGGAGCUAAUACCGGAUAAUAUUUUGAACCGCAUGGUUCAAAAGUGAAAGACGGUCUUGCUGUCACUUAUAGAUGGAUCCGCGCUGCAUUAGCUAGUUGGUAAGGUAACGGCUUACCAAGGCAACGAUGCAUAGCCGACCUGAGAGGGUGGUCGGCCACCCUGGAACUGCGCCGCGGUCCAGACUCCUACGGGAGGCAGCAGUAGGGAAUCUUCCGCAAUGGGCGAAAGCCUGACGGAGCAACGCCGCGUGAGUGAUGAAGGUCUUCGGAUCGUAAAACUCUGUUAUUAGGGAAGAACAUAUGUGUAAGUAACUGUGCACAUCUUGACGGUACCUAAUCAGAAAGCCACGGCUAACUACGUG
This 497-nucleotide ribosomal RNA is filed under the name uncultured bacterium. Its description in RNAcentral is "partial 16S ribosomal RNA". It matches the Rfam family "Bacterial small subunit ribosomal RNA", at positions 28 to 507 of the family's 1533-position model. The record is from RNAcentral.